RNAcentral lists this ribosomal RNA (519 nucleotides) under uncultured eukaryote. RNAcentral describes it as "SSU rRNA". It matches the Rfam family "Eukaryotic small subunit ribosomal RNA", at positions 1161 to 1701 of the family's 1831-position model. The record is from RNAcentral.
AGGGCACCACCAGGAGUGGAGCCUGCGGCUUAAUUUGACUCAACACGGGAAAACUCACCCGGCCCGGACACCGUAAGGAUUGACAGACUGAGAGCUCUUUCUUAAUUCGGUGGGUGGUGGUGCAUGGCCGUUCUUAGUUGGUGGAGCGAUUUGUCUGGUUAAUUCCGAUAACGAACGAGACUCUGGCCUAUUAAAUAGUCGGUAUAUCCAGAAAAGUUUACCGUACUUCUUAGAGGGACAAACGGCGUCUAGCCGCGAGAAAUAGAGCGAUAACAGGUCUGUGAUGCCCUUAGAUGUCCGGGGCUGCACGCGCGCUACACUGAAAGAAUCAGUAUGCUCUUUAACCUAGUCCGGAAGGAUUGGGUAACCCGAGCAAAUUCUUUCGUGCUUGGGAUAGGGAAUUGCAAUUAUUUCCCUUAAACGAGGAAUUCCCAGUAAAUGCGGGUCAUAUGCUCGCGUUGAUUACGUCCCUGCCCUUUGUACACACCGCCCGUCGCUACUACCGAUUGGAUGACUUAG